This 324-nucleotide ribosomal RNA is filed under the name uncultured eukaryote. RNAcentral describes it as "partial 18S ribosomal RNA". It matches the Rfam family "Eukaryotic small subunit ribosomal RNA", at positions 1470 to 1796 of the family's 1831-position model. The record is from RNAcentral.
CCCUUAGAUGUCCUGGGCUGCACGCGCGCUACACUGAUGUGUCCAGUAAGCACCUAACCUCUUCCGAAAGGAACGGGUAACCUUUGCAAAGCACAUCGUGAUGGGGAUAGAUUAUUGCAAUUAUUAGUCUUGAACGAGGAAUUCCUAGUAAGCACAAGUCAUCAGCUUGUGUUGAUUACGUCCCUGCCCUUUGUACACACCGCCCGUCGCUCCUACCGAUUGAAUGUUCCGGUGAGCUCUUCGGACUGCGCGGUCUGCAGUGUCUGCGUUCCGUGCGGAAAGUUGCGCAAACCUUAACAUUUAGAGGAAGGAGAAGUCGUAACA